UAGGUUGUAUGUAUGGGAAUGAUGUGAUUGU
Molecule: non-coding RNA, 31 nt
Filed under: Mus musculus (house mouse)
Lineage: Eukaryota; Metazoa; Chordata; Mammalia; Rodentia; Muridae
Source: RNAcentral